RNAcentral lists this ribosomal RNA (253 nucleotides) under uncultured bacterium. RNAcentral describes it as "partial 16S ribosomal RNA". It matches the Rfam family "Bacterial small subunit ribosomal RNA", at positions 355 to 600 of the family's 1533-position model. The record is from RNAcentral.
UAGGGAAUAUUGGACAAUGGGGGCAACCCUGAUCCAGCCAUGCCGCGUGAGUGAAGAAGGCCUUCGGGUUGUAAAGCUCUUUCGGACGGGAAGAAAUGGCGGGCUCUAACAUAGCCUGUCGAUGACGGUACCGUAAGAAGAAGCACCGGCUAACUACGUGCCAGCAGCCGCGGUAAUAAGUAGGGUGCGAGCGUUAAACGGAAUUACUGGGCGUAAAGCGUGCGCAGGCGGUUUUGUAAGACAGAUGUGAAAU